RNAcentral lists this long non-coding RNA (356 nucleotides) under Eucalyptus grandis. Its description in RNAcentral is "long non-coding RNA (EGRA_LNC002913)". The record is from RNAcentral. Lineage: Eukaryota; Viridiplantae; Streptophyta; Magnoliopsida; Myrtales; Myrtaceae.
ACUAAUCUUACUGUUAAAUUCACCAAUGAGCACAUCUGCCGCAUGAACAAACAGUUCAUAGAUCACAACGAGAAAAGCCAGCCAUUGAAGUUUGAAGUCAGAGGACAGAACAAAAGCUUUUGCUAGAGCAACGCUGGUGCGAGGCAAUCCCAACUUUGCCCCGGAGGAGAACCCUCCUCGCCAGCUUGGAUCAAUUUUUCGGGGAAGGGCAUUAGGGUGAAUGGAAAUUCCUUUCUUUUGGGAUUGCAGUGGCAUGAAUAGACCGAGGAGCUUCGAAGAGAGGAUCGGAACUUGGGUCUUUCACAAUAAUUGCUCGCGCAAGAGGAGCAGGCUUUGUGACUGUAAUUUGAAGAGAG